Molecule: ribosomal RNA, 444 nt
Filed under: uncultured bacterium
Lineage: Bacteria
Description: bacterial SSU rRNA
Rfam family: Bacterial small subunit ribosomal RNA
Source: RNAcentral
AUUGAACGCUGGCGGCAUGCCUUACACAUGCAAGUCGAACGGCAGCACGGGGGCGAACCCUCGGUGGCGAGUGGCGAACGGGUGAGUAAUACAUCGGAACGUGCCCGAUAGUGGGGGAUAGCUCGGCGAAAGCCGGAUUAAUACCGCAUACGACCUACGGGUGAAAGCGGGGGAUCGCAAGACCUCGCGCUAUCAGAGCGGCCGAUGUCAGAUUAGGUUGUUGGUGGGGAAUGGCCUACCAAGGCGACGAUCGGUAGCUGGUCUGAGAGGACGACCAGCCACACUGGGACUGAGACACGGCCCAGACUCCUACGGGAGGCAGCAGUGGGGAAUAUUGGACAAUGGGCGCAAGCCUGAUCCAGCGAUGCCGCGUGUGUGAAGAAGGCCUGCGGGUUGUAAAGCACUUUCAGUAGGGAAGAAAGCCGAGUGCUAAUAUCACUCGGU